GUACCCGAAACCGACACAGGUGGGGUGGUAGAGAAUACCGAGGUGCGCGAGGUAACUCUCUCUAAGGAACUCGGCAAAAUGGCCCCGUAACUUCGGGAGAAGGGGUGCCACAGCAAUGUGGUCGCAGUGAAGAGGCCCUGGCGACUGUUUACCAAAAACACAGGUCUCCGCUAAGUCGCAAGACGAUGUAUGGGGGCUGACGCCUGCCCAGUGCCGGAAGGUUAAGGAAGCCGGUCAGCGUAAGCGAAGCUGGCGACUGAAGCCCCGGUGAACGGCGGCCGUAACUAUAACGGUCCUAAGGUAGCGAAAUUCCUUGUCGGGUAAGUCCCGACCCGCACGAAAGGCGUAACGAUCAGGGCGCUGUCUCGGAGAGAGGCUCGGCGAAAUAGAAUUGUCUGUGAAGAUGCGGACUACAUACACCCGGACAGAAAGACCCUAUGAAGCUUUACUGUAGCUUGGUAUUGUGCCCGGGCUCUGAAUGCGCAGGAUAGGUGGGAGACGUUGAUCUAGUGCUCGUGGGUACUAGGGAGUCAAUGGUGAGAUACCACUCUUUCAGAGCUAGGGUUCUAACGUUCACCCGUUAUCCGGGGAGCGGACAGUAUCAGGUGGGCAGUUUGACUGGGGCGGUCGCCUCCUAAAAGGUAACGGAGGCGCGCAAAGGUUUCCUCAGGCUGGUUGGAAAUCAGCCGACGAGUGCAAAAGCAGAAGGAAGCUUGACUGUGAGACCUACAAGUCGAACAGGGACGAAAGUCGGCUUUAGUGAUCCGACGGUUCUGAGUGGAAGGGCCGUCGCUCAACGGAUAAAAGUUACUCUAGGAUAACAGGCUGAUCUCCCCCAAGAGUUCACAUCGACGGGGAGGUUUGGCACCUCGAUGUCGGCUCAUCGCAACCUGGGGCUGAAGUCGGUCCCAAGGGUUGGGCUGUUCGCCCAUUAAAGCGGUACGCGAGCUGGGUUCAGAACGUCGUGAGACAGCUCGGUCCAUAUCCGGUGUAUGCGUAGGAAUAUUGAGAGGAUUUCUCCCUAGUACGAGAGGACCGGGAGGAACGCACCUCUGGUGUACCAGUUAUCGUGCCAACGGUAAACGCUGGGUAGCCAUGUGCGGAGUGGAUAACCGCUGAAAGCAUCUAAGUGGGAAGCCCACCUCAAGAUGAGUAUUCCCAUGGGGUAACCCAGUAAGGUCACGGGAAGAACACCCGUUGAUAGGCUCUACGUCGAAGUUCAGUAAUGGAUGCAGCGGAGGAGUACUAAUAGACCGAGGGCUUGACCGC
RNAcentral lists this ribosomal RNA (1269 nucleotides) under metagenome. RNAcentral describes it as "bacterial LSU rRNA". It matches the Rfam family "Bacterial large subunit ribosomal RNA", at positions 1644 to 2925 of the family's 2925-position model. The record is from RNAcentral.